This 396-nucleotide ribosomal RNA is filed under the name uncultured bacterium. Its description in RNAcentral is "bacterial SSU rRNA". It matches the Rfam family "Bacterial small subunit ribosomal RNA", at positions 29 to 402 of the family's 1533-position model. The record is from RNAcentral.
AACGAACGCUGGCGGCGUGCCUAACACAUGCAAGUCGAGGGAGAAAAGGAGCUUCGGCUCCCCAGUAAACCGGCGCACGGGUGAGAAACACGUAGGUAACGUACCCUGGAGUCCGGGAUAACCAGUCGAAAGACUGGCUAAUACCGGAUACGACCACAGGAGCUCCGGCUUCUAUGGUGAAAGAUGGCCUCUGUUUACAAGCUGUCACUCCUGGAUCGGCCUGCGCACCAUUAGCUAGUUGGUGAGGUAAUGGCUCACCAAGGCUGAGAUGGUUAGCUGGUCUGAGAGGAUGGCCAGCCACACUGGGACUGAGACACGGCCCAGACUCCUACGGGAGGCAGCAGUGGGGAAUUAUUGCGCAAUGGGGGCAAAUCCCUUGACGCAGCGACGCCGCGU